GCCAAUGUGGUUUAGUGGUUUGGGCAUUAGACUGUUACUCUGGAGACCAGGGCUCGAAUCCUCACUCAGCCA
Phrynosoma platyrhinos (Desert horned lizard) is the source of this 72-nucleotide non-coding RNA. Lineage: Eukaryota; Metazoa; Chordata; Lepidosauria; Squamata; Phrynosomatidae. The record is from the annotation of a GenBank genome assembly.